GACGAACGCUGGCGGCGUGCUUAACACAUGCAAGUCGAACGGAAAGGCCCCUUUGGGGGUACUCGAGUGGCGAACGGGUGAGUAACACGUGAGUAACCUGCCCUUGACUUCGGGAUAACUUCAGGAAACUGGGGCUAAUACCGGAUAGGAAUCCUUGCUGCAUGGCGGGGGUUGGAAAGCUUCGGCGGUUUUGGAUGGACUGGCGGCUUAUCAGCUUGUUGGUGGGGUAGUGGCUUACCAAGGCUUUGACGGGUAGCCGGCCUGAGAGGGCGACCGGCCACAUUGGGACUGAGAGACGGCCCAGACUCCUACGGGAGGCAGCAGUGGGGAAUAUUGCACAAUGGGCGGAAGCCUGAUGCAGCAACGCCGCGUGCGGGAUGACGGCCUUCGGGUUGAAAACCGCUUUCAGCAGGGGCGAAGCUUGUGGUGACGGUACCUGCAGAAGAAGCACCGGCUAACUACGUG
RNAcentral lists this ribosomal RNA (465 nucleotides) under uncultured bacterium. Its description in RNAcentral is "partial 16S ribosomal RNA". It matches the Rfam family "Bacterial small subunit ribosomal RNA", at positions 28 to 507 of the family's 1533-position model. The record is from RNAcentral.